This 223-nucleotide long non-coding RNA is filed under the name Gallus gallus (chicken). RNAcentral describes it as "long non-coding RNA NONGGAT004754". The record is from RNAcentral. Lineage: Eukaryota; Metazoa; Chordata; Aves; Galliformes; Phasianidae.
CAGCUAGCUCAGAAAUACACGAGCUGUUGGAGUCGGUGAGAUACACUGUGGGACUGUGGAACUCAAUGAAUGGGGGACAUCCGUGGUUGGCAAGGGAUGAGACACGAGACAGCGUGAACACAACGUUGAAAAGAGCACAUUACAGACACGACACAGUGACAGAGACAUUCGUGAAUAAAGAGGAAAGUGCAGAUUUUCAUGACCAAAAUGGGCUGGAAAUCAA